AUACGGAGGGUGCAAGCGCUACUCGGAAUCACUGGGCGUAAAGCGCGCGCAGGCGGCUAUUUAAGUUGGAUGUGAAAGCCUACGGCUCAACCGUAGAACUGCAUCCAAAACUAUUUAGCUAGAGUGUGAGAGAGGAAGAUGGAAUUAGUUGUGUAGGGGUAAAAUCCGUAGAGAUAACUAGGAAUACCAAAAGCGAAGGCAAUCUUCUGGAACACUACUGACGCUGAGGCGCGAAAGCGUGGGGAGCAAACAGAAUUAGAAACCCUAGUAGUCC
RNAcentral lists this ribosomal RNA (274 nucleotides) under uncultured bacterium. Its description in RNAcentral is "partial 16S ribosomal RNA". It matches the Rfam family "Bacterial small subunit ribosomal RNA", at positions 523 to 796 of the family's 1533-position model. The record is from RNAcentral.